Podarcis lilfordi (Lilford's wall lizard) is the source of this 72-nucleotide non-coding RNA. NCBI's taxonomy places the organism in Eukaryota, Metazoa, Chordata, Lepidosauria, Squamata, Lacertidae. The record is from the annotation of a GenBank genome assembly.
AGAGGUGUAGCUCAAUGGUAGAGCAUCUGCUUUGCAUGUAGAAGGUCUCAGUUUUAAUUCCCAACAUCUCCU